RNAcentral lists this ribosomal RNA (468 nucleotides) under uncultured bacterium. RNAcentral's name for it is "partial 16S ribosomal RNA". It matches the Rfam family "Bacterial small subunit ribosomal RNA", at positions 28 to 507 of the family's 1533-position model. The record is from RNAcentral.
GACGAACGCUGGCGGCGUGCUUAACACAUGCAAGUCGAACGGAAAGGCCCUGCUUUUGUGGGGUGCUCGAGUGGCGAACGGGUGAGUAACACGUGAGUAACCUGCCCUUGACUUUGGGAUAACUUCAGGAAACUGGGGCUAAUACCGGAUAGGAGCUCCUGCUGCAUGGUGGGGGUUGGAAAGUUUCGGCGGUUGGGGAUGGACUCGCGGCUUAUCAGCUUGUUGGUGGGGUAGUGGCUUACCAAGGUUUUGACGGGUAGCCGGCCUGAGAGGGUGACCGGGCACAUUGGGACUGAGGUACGGCCCAGACUCCUACGGGAGGCAGCAGUGGGGAGUAUUACACAAUGGGCGGAAGCCUGAUGCAGCAACGCCGCGUGCGGGAUGACGGGCUUCGGGUUGUAAACCGCUUUGGCCUGUGACGAAGCGUGAGUGACGGUAAUGGGUAAAGAAGCACCGGCUAACUACGUG